Molecule: ribosomal RNA, 251 nt
Filed under: uncultured prokaryote
Description: partial 16S rRNA
Rfam family: Bacterial small subunit ribosomal RNA
Source: RNAcentral
ACGGAGGCCUCAAGCGUUGUUCGGAAUUACUGGGCGUAAAGGGUGCGUAGGUGGCGAGGUAAGUCAGAUGUGAAAGCCCGGGGCUCAACCUCGGAAUAGCAUCCGAUACUACCUUGCUUGAGGGUUGGAGAGGAGACUGGAAUUCACGGUGUAGCAGUGAAAUGCGUGGAUAUCGUGAGGAAGGCCAAUAGCGAAGGCAGGUCUCUGGACAACUCCUGACACUGAUGCACGAAGGCCAGGGGAGCAAAAAG